RNAcentral lists this long non-coding RNA (497 nucleotides) under Mytilus galloprovincialis (Mediterranean mussel). The record is from RNAcentral. Lineage: Eukaryota; Metazoa; Mollusca; Bivalvia; Mytilida; Mytilidae.
CUCCCAUUCAAAUGCAUUGAUCGUCCAAAAAAAAGGGUGGUUCCAACCCCAGGAACCUGGAUCCACCACUGCCUGUGUUGUCAGCAACACUCCAAAGAUAAUGUACAAGUAGAAUCAUAAGAUUAUCAGGGAGGGAUCAACUUAGGGCCGGAUCGACCUUAGACGGAUCGACUGGGGAUGGAGUGACUUUGGGACGAUUGCAUCGGUUUUGGGUCAGAUAGACAUGAUACCUUUUCAAACUAGGAACAAUUUAUCUUUUAAAAAGAAGCUCUAAACAAAAAAGUGCAAAAUUAUGGAGCAAAUAGAUGGCUGUAUCUUUAUCAAAACUUGACAGUAACAAAUCCAGUAAACCUUACAGAUACAUCAUCACAAUUCAUUGAUGUUAACAGGUCAAGUAGUAUGAUACAAACACUUACAUGUACUUAGUACCACUAUCAAAUAAGUAAAAAAGUAAAAAAGUGAGAAAGUUAAAAAAAUAACAACAGCUUAUAUCAUUG